This 369-nucleotide ribosomal RNA is filed under the name uncultured bacterium. RNAcentral describes it as "bacterial SSU rRNA". It matches the Rfam family "Bacterial small subunit ribosomal RNA", at positions 527 to 896 of the family's 1533-position model. The record is from RNAcentral.
GUAGGGUGCGAGCGUUAAUCGGAAUUACUGGGCGUAGAGCGUGCGCAGGCGGUUCGUUAAGACAGAUGUGAAAUCCCCGGGCUUAACCUGGGAACUGCAUUUGUGACUGGCGGGCUAGAGUAUGGCAGAGGGGGGUAGAAUUCCACGUGUAGCAGUGAAAUGCGUAGAGAUGUGGAGGAAUACCGAUGGCGAAGGCAGCCCCCUGGGCCAAUACUGACGCUCAUGCACGAAAGCGUGGGGAGCAAACAGGAUUAGAUACCCUGGUAGUCCACGCCCUAAACGAUGUCAACUAGUUGUUGGGGAUUCAUUUCCUUGGUAACGUAGCUAACGCGUGAAGUUGACCGCCUGGGGAGUACGGUCGCAAGAUUA